RNAcentral lists this long non-coding RNA (1363 nucleotides) under Bos indicus x Bos taurus (hybrid cattle). RNAcentral describes it as "lncRNA (ENSBIXG00000003738.1)". Lineage: Eukaryota; Metazoa; Chordata; Mammalia; Artiodactyla; Bovidae. The record is from RNAcentral.
GUUUGAAGUUGGCAGACCCCCACCCGCUUCCUGCCGCCCCAGCUUGCUGAACCAACUACAGACCCUUGGGGCUCAGCUGGGAGGAAUUUAUUGGUGGAGAAUUUCAAUCAUGGGUUCUUGGCUCAAACUUGUUGCUUCCCCCACCCCCAAAGUCUCCCCAGCAGUUUGAUACUCAUGGAACUGAGGCUCAAAGGAGGGACUUCUGACGAUCUCAGAAUUCCACCUGGGCAGGUCGGAGAGUUCACAGCCCCUCGUCACUCGGAGGAAGGGAAUGCAGAGGAGCAAGGAUGCAGGUUCCUGAGACCAUACAGAGAGGCCUUCCCUGGGCGGUUUCCAGACCAAGAAGCCCACGCCCUUCCCCGGGAGCCAAGCCAAGAAGGUCCUGGGACUGAGGGCCCCAUAUGCCGCUCAUUUUCCAACCCCUCUGGGCAGGGCUGCCUCCGCUCCAUGCCUCAGAGAGAUCUUUGCAAUGAUGGAUAAGCCGUGGCCCCGACGGCCCUGGCCCUGGGGAGGAAAAAAAACAUCUUUUGCAGUUUCGUGUAAAGCCUCCCACUUUUCGCUUAAUAAGUGCUGAAAGAGGCACAAACAGAGGGACCCCGAGCUUGCCAUGACUAACAAGAUGACCACAUCAGGCAGAGCCGAGCUGGGGGAGAGGACCGCGCCGGCCGGCCGCCCGGCUUCCCGGCGCGGAGGUGUCCGAUUCCCGAUUCCCUCCCGGGACGCUCCGCCAACAGUGCUUUGAAGCCAUGCCUAGGAGCCCGGAGCAGGGAGGCACGGAGCGAAGUGGGGAAAGGGCUGGUCCUCCCUCCCGCCUCCCGCAGGAUGGGCACAGAUCGCCCAAGAUAAAGGAACCGCAGCCUCCUCCAACUUGUGCUGAGUCGCUCUUUUCAAAAGCCCUUUCAGAUGGUUUCACUUCUCCGCGCGCGCUUUGUUGAAAGAUGUAAAAAUUUCAAACCACCACAGAGUAAACAUUUCAAAACUCGCUCUUUGCAAAAAUCAGUCACAUUUUCCCAAAAAAAAAAAAAAAAAAAAAUCUUGAAUUCCAUCUCUCCACGCACCACCACUCCCCCCGUCUCCCCCGCCCCCUCAAUCCCUUUUUCUGCGCUCUUUGGAUUCGAGUGUUUUUCAUUAAUUUAGAAGCAGUCCAGGUAAAGCUGGUGUUUGCGAGCUGGUGUUUUACGGGCGGGAAGUAGCUUUGUUAUUUAGGAGAUGUUUUAGAUAAGUCAAUGUCUUGUCAAAAUCAAGCAGGUUUUCUUUAUUAGGGUGAAAUCGUAAUGAACUCAUCUGCUUCUAAUAUUUAUAAAGAGAAGAGAGGCCAUUAAUUCUACUGCUUGUGAAUAAAACCAUCUGUGAUUUCUUUCCA